This 99-nucleotide transfer RNA is filed under the name Candidatus Omnitrophota bacterium. RNAcentral's name for it is "tRNA-Asn". It matches the Rfam family "tRNA". From Rfam's summary of the family: Transfer RNA (tRNA) molecules are approximately 80 nucleotides in length. Their secondary structure includes four short double-helical elements and three loops (D, anti-codon, and T loops). Further hydrogen bonds mediate the characteristic L-shaped molecular structure. tRNAs have two regions of fundamental functional importance: the anti-codon, which is responsible for specific mRNA codon recognition, and the 3' end, to which the tRNAs corresponding amino acid is attached (by aminoacyl-tRNA synthetases). tRNAs cope with the degeneracy of the genetic code in two manners: having more than one tRNA (with a specific anti-codon) for a particular amino acid; and 'wobble' base-pairing, i.e. permitting non-standard base-pairing at the 3rd anti-codon position. Lineage: Bacteria; Pseudomonadati; Candidatus Omnitrophota. RNAcentral also lists the same sequence under 1 other name. The record is from RNAcentral.
AGUAGAAUAGGCCAAAUUGGUAGGGCAGUUGACUGUUACUCAACCCAAGACAAUCUUAACCGAUUGUGUGUGCAGGUUCGAAUCCUGCUUCUACUGCCA